UUAAAAACAAACGUGUUAUAACCCCAGGCAUUGGUAACCACAACACUGCCUGCCCCAGGCUGUCUCUGAGUCAGAGAGCAUAGGAAGCUGCUCUCCAGCUCCUGCCCUAUCAAUUCAGAGACCGCAGUCAUCGCGUUAUCGUAUUACACCAGUUGAUGGGUCACACCAGGCUUGCAGACCAGACUUUCUUCUGAUCUGUGUGGCUUAAAUUGUCAUGUCAAAUAGGACUAAGCGAGGCCAGGUCCACUGAAGGAGCUCAUAGGACUCAGAACCAGAAGAGGCAAUAGAACAUGGGGAAACUGAGACCCAGAAAAGAGAAGCAAUUUGCCCAAGAUUAUUUAAUGACUUCAUGGUAAAGAAAACAAGUGGUGCUCCUGACCUUCAGGGCAUCUGAUUUUUUUCAUUCUUCCUCAUAAGACUGAUGAGGACAAUACAGCCUCGUCCAGAAGAGCAUCUGCAUUCCCUGGGAAAGACUCUCUUCCCACACCCUAUCUCAAGUAUGUUCCUUUCGGAUGCAAAACCCAAAUUGUAUUGUUUCUAUAUAUAAAUAAGCCCUGAGAAAAUGUCUCUUUGCAAUUCUUUGACAUUGCCCACUAAGAGAAUAUCUUGGUGUCUCUCUCUUUAAUAAAGUGCCUUUUCUUAU
Molecule: long non-coding RNA, 643 nt
Organism: Sarcophilus harrisii (Tasmanian devil)
Lineage: Eukaryota; Metazoa; Chordata; Mammalia; Dasyuromorphia; Dasyuridae
Exons: 2
Source: RefSeq, a predicted model, not a curated record